GGAGAGGUGCUCCGAAUGGUAAGGAACUUGUUUUGAAAACAAGCGCCCGCAAGGGCAUGCAGGUUCGACUCCUGUCCUCUCCGCCA
Molecule: transfer RNA, 86 nt
Filed under: Candidatus Shapirobacteria bacterium CG_4_10_14_0_2_um_filter_40_12
Lineage: Bacteria; Candidatus Shapironibacteriota
Also listed under: 1 other name
Description: tRNA-Ser
Rfam family: tRNA
About the family: Transfer RNA (tRNA) molecules are approximately 80 nucleotides in length. Their secondary structure includes four short double-helical elements and three loops (D, anti-codon, and T loops).
Source: RNAcentral